UCGUCUGAGCUACUAACACAGUCUGCGCUUGACCUUGAACCAAUGUCGUUUGUGGUUGAGCUAGGACGUAAUUUUGACCAGGCACGCCACCAGAAACAACAUACUGUAAUUGACCUCCUGCUCCUUGUUGCAAUAAAACUUGCGGUUGCGGUUGGGCCUGCCUUCCUUUUACUGGACCAGUUGGUAUAAUAACUUGAUUAUUUGGUUGAAUCGUUUGUUGUACUACUAUUUGCCUAGGUGCUGUAACGAUAAGUUGUUGUGGCUGUAAUUGUGGCUGCUGCUGCUGCUGUUGUUGUUGUUGUGGUUGUUGAUUAAUUUGAUUGACGAAUACGUGAGGUUCCUCUUUUAUCGUGAUAGGAUCCUCUUUCAUCGUGUUGACAGGUUCCUCCUUUAUCGUGAUAGGUUCUUUUAUACUAAUAGAUUCUUCCUUAACACUUACAUUAACGUUCUCGUCAAGAUCCGUUUCGUCUUCUAUACAAUCCGCUGCCAGAGCAGCAUAAAGAUUCGCGGCUGUAGAAGACACGGUCACUUUCUCGUUAUCUUUAUCAUCGUCCUGUUCUUCAGACUUUAUACUCGAGACAGUAGAUUCGGCGGUAGUCGAAUCAACAGCAAGAUCCGGCGACAUCGUACCAUUGGAAUAUUUUACUUUCUUUACAUCUACUUCAUCUAAUUCGCUGGCAGAUCGUUUUAUCCCUCUGGGUGCUUCGAUCAAAGUAUCCUCGGAGACCUCCGUCUCUUCUACUUCAGCUUUUAUUUUAAUGUCAGUAGGAGAUUCUUUUAGUACUUUCUUAAUAUGAUUUUCUACUAAGUCCAUUCCCUUGUCAUUGAUUGAAUUUUUCCCUAACACGCCGUUUAAAAUCGGCUCCUUGUCGACUUUCCUUUCUAACAAAUCUGCAAGCAUCAUACUUUGCAGGGGUUUUUCUUUAGACGUUACACUAGACGAAUCUUUCGAAGAUCCAUCUUCCUGCGCGUCG
RNAcentral lists this unclassified non-coding RNA (974 nucleotides) under Bombus terrestris (buff-tailed bumblebee). Its description in RNAcentral is "misc RNA ENSBTSG00005030097.1". Lineage: Eukaryota; Metazoa; Arthropoda; Insecta; Hymenoptera; Apidae. The record is from RNAcentral.